Molecule: ribosomal RNA, 468 nt
Filed under: uncultured bacterium
Lineage: Bacteria
Description: bacterial SSU rRNA
Rfam family: Bacterial small subunit ribosomal RNA
Source: RNAcentral
CGCCAGACUCCUACGGGAGGCAGCAGUGAGGAAUAUUGGUCAAUGGGCGCGAGCCUGAACCAGCCAAGUCGCGUGAGGGAUGACGGUCCUACGGAUUGUAAACCUCUUUUGCCGGGGAGCAAGCGUGCGUUCGUGAACGCGCGUCGAGAGUACCCGGAGAAAAAGCAUCGGCUAACUCCGUGCCAGCAGCCGCGGUAAUACGGAGGAUGCGAGCGUUAUCCGGAUUUAUUGGGUUUAAAGGGUGCGUAGGCGGGAUGCCAAGUCAGCGGUAAAAAUGCGGUGCUCAACCCGUGAACUGCAUUUGAAACUGUUUCCCUUGAGUGUCGGAGAGGUAAUCGGAAUUCCUUGUGUAGCGGUGAAAUGCGUAGAUAUAAGGAAGAACACCAGUGGCGAAGGCGGAUUACUGGACGAUAACUGACGGUGAGGCGCGAAAGCGUGGGGAGCAAACAGGAUUAGAUACCCCGGUAC